CCGUUCGUACGNNNGCAGCAGUGAGGAAUAUUGGACAAUGGNAGCNAUCCUGAUCCAGCCAUGCCGCGUGNGGAAGACUGCCCUAUGGGUUGUAAACUGCUUUUAUACAGGAAGAAAAAGGUUNACGUGNGAACUGUUGACGGUACUGUAGGAAUAAGGAUCGGCUAACUCCGUGCCAGCAGCCGC
RNAcentral lists this ribosomal RNA (186 nucleotides) under uncultured bacterium. Its description in RNAcentral is "partial 16S ribosomal RNA". It matches the Rfam family "Bacterial small subunit ribosomal RNA", at positions 331 to 518 of the family's 1533-position model. The record is from RNAcentral.